AGCGAACGCUGGCGGCGUGCCUAACACAUGCAAGUCGAACGCGAAAAGGGAAACCUGAGUAAAGUGGCGUACGGGUGAGUAACGCGUAGGUAAUCUACCCCAGAAUCUGGAAUAACCUGCCGAAAGGCGGGCUAAUACUGGAUAGAGCGAGGGAACUCGUAAGAGAGUUUUUCGGGAAAGGGAGCCCGCAAGGGCCUUCGUUCUGGGAUGAGCCUGCGUCUCAUUAGCUAGUUGGUAAGGUAACGGCUUACCAAGGCGAUGAUGAGUAGCUGGUCUGAGAGGAUGAUCAGCCACACUGGAACUGAAACACGGUCCAGACUCCUACGGGAGGCAGCAGUGGGGAAUCUUGCGCAAUGGACGAAAGUCUGACGCAGCCACGCCGCGUGAGUGAAGAAGGCCUUCGGGUUGUAAAGCUCUGUCGGAUGGGACGAACAUCUUCAUAGUGAAUAGCUAUGAGGACUGACGGUACCAUCAAAGGAAGCACCGGCUAACUCCGUG
RNAcentral lists this ribosomal RNA (498 nucleotides) under uncultured bacterium. RNAcentral's name for it is "partial 16S ribosomal RNA". It matches the Rfam family "Bacterial small subunit ribosomal RNA", at positions 29 to 507 of the family's 1533-position model. The record is from RNAcentral.